This 254-nucleotide ribosomal RNA is filed under the name uncultured bacterium. RNAcentral describes it as "partial 16S ribosomal RNA". It matches the Rfam family "Bacterial small subunit ribosomal RNA", at positions 524 to 776 of the family's 1533-position model. The record is from RNAcentral.
UACGGGGGGGGCAAGCGUUGUUCGGAAUUACUGGGCGUAAAGGGCUCGUAGGUGGCCAACUAAGUCGGACGUGAAAUCCCUCGGCUUAACCGGGGAACUGCGUCUGAUACUGGAUAGCUUGGAGUGCGGCAGAGGGAGGUGGAAUUCCACGUGUAGCAGUGAAAUGCGUAGAGAUGUGGAGGAACACCGAUGGCGAAGGCAGCCUCCUGGGCCAGCACUGACGCUCAUGCACGAAAGCGUGGGGAGCAAACAGG